RNAcentral lists this ribosomal RNA (253 nucleotides) under uncultured bacterium. RNAcentral describes it as "partial 16S ribosomal RNA". It matches the Rfam family "Bacterial small subunit ribosomal RNA", at positions 524 to 776 of the family's 1533-position model. The record is from RNAcentral.
UACGUAGGGUGCGAGCGUUGCCCGGAUUUAUUGGUCGUAAAGGUCGCUUAGGCGGUCACGCACUUCCGUUGUGAAAUCGCUCGGCUCAACUGGGCGGGGUCAGCGGAUACGGCGUGGCUGGAGCAAGCUAGGGGGCAAUGGAAUUCCCGGUGUAGUGGUGGAAUGCGUAGAUAUCGGGAGGAACACCAGUGGCGAAGGCGGUUGCCUGGAGCUUUGCUGACGCUGAUGCGCGAAAGCGUGGGGAGCGAUCCGG